Molecule: long non-coding RNA, 3275 nt
Organism: Oryctolagus cuniculus (rabbit)
Lineage: Eukaryota; Metazoa; Chordata; Mammalia; Lagomorpha; Leporidae
Source: Ensembl
AUGAGACUGGCCGGGACACACAGCCGAGCAGGCCGCCACCCGAGGGGCGACCCGGGCGUGAGGGCCCGGACCCCGGACGCGGCCCUGCGCCCCUGCGGGUGUGCACACGGACCCCUGGCGGGCGCUGCGGGACCACCCUCUGCUCCGCCCGCGGCCACCAUGCGGGGAGGCCACCCGAGGGGCGACCCCGGGCGUGAGGGCCCGGACCCCGGACGCGGCCCUGCGCCCCUGCGGGUGUGCACAGGGCCCUCGGGCGCGCGCUGCGGGGCCGCCCUCUGCUCAGCGCACGGGCUGCGGCCACCGUGCGGGGAGGCCACCCGAGGGGCGACCCUGGGCGUGAGGGGAGGCCACCCGAAGGGUGACCCGGGGCUGGAGGGCCCUGGGGUGCGCGCUGCGGGGCCGCCCUCUGCUCAGCGCGGGCCGCGGCUCCGGAGGGGAGGGCGCCUGCACACCCCGGGCCGGGCCGCGGCCGGCAAAGGGCGGACUUGGGGCCCUGGGCCGCUGCCGGCUGGUGGGGAGACCCCGGGGAAUCCGGCAUCUCCCGAGACCACCCGCGGGAGCGCUCCGCCUCGACCCCUGCGCGGAGCUGCUCCGGACCCUGGCAGCGGGCUCCUCACGUCCUCAAGGAAAUCUGUACUAAGGAAAAACAAUGCCUGCAUUUAGGAACUCUUUUUUUGCAUCAAGUUAAACCUGCCUUUUAAUGCCAUUUCCACGAAGUUUUCUAAGCCCCCUCAUCUGCUGGAUACUAGUGUAAAAACCAGUUUUUAAAAGAAAACCUCACCCUUCCAAACGCAGCCUCUCAAGAAUCUUGAGACAAAAUGGCUGUGCUGAUGGUCAGGUUCCGACCCGGGAGAGGGCGGUCACUGUUGAAGCCGAAUUCGGUCCUGAGAGGAGGGGCGUGGUGGGGGCGGAGGGCGGAGUGACCACACAGACCCCGGGAGGCGGGGAAAAGCGGGCCUGAGGCGAGCAGCCCGCAGACUCGUUUACUUCAGGUGCUACAGCAGCUUAUAUAGCCAAGGCAGCCAAUCCGGUCAAGGGGCGGUCUAUGCCCCAACCAAUCACAGCCUGUUGCCAGGCAGUUUCCAAAGCCAUCCAAUCACAGCCUGUUGCCAGUCAGUCUUUGUUGUCAUGUGGUUUCUGAAGCCAUCCAAUCACAGCCUGCUACCAGGCAGGCUCUGUUGCCAGGCAGUUUCUGAAACCAUCCAAUCACAGCCUGUUGCCAGUCAGGCUCUGUUGUCAUGGGGUUUCUGAAGCCAUCCAAUCACAGCCUGUUGCCAGGCAGUUUCUGUUGUCAGCGGCCAUCUUGGCAUGACCUUCUCACCUUCUCAUUCCACCACAGGUCACCAAAGAGGCUCCAGAGUGACCCUGAGUUUGAGGAAAGAGUUCCAGUGGCUUGCUUUGGACAGAAGACAUCUGCAAACACGUUCUCACUGGGUGCUUCUGUGACACGCUCUGCAUGCAAGGGGACUCUCCUCAGUGUGGGUCUCAGCGCUCUGUGUCCUGGGUCAGCCUCAGGGGGCACCCAGGCUGCCAGCGUGCCUGCAGUCACAGCACUGGACAGUGCACGCUGGGGCGGCCCUGCCUGAGUAUGCAGGGACUGCUCCACGACCCCUCUGUGGCUGUGGCUCCAGCUGCAGGCCGCAGUCUUCCACGAAGCGGCCUGCUUUAAUCAGGCGCCAGAGCUGACCUCUGCCGUUUAAGCUUGUGCGUAGGCUUCCCUUCAGUGAUGGCACGCACAGGUGAGAGGAACAGCAGGAGGGACACGGCGUGGGGCAGGGUCCCGGCCUGGAUGUCUGGCGUGGGCCUAUCUCACAGCCUGUGUUUGCGUGGGGCUGUGGCUGGAUUGCACCUGCCUGGCUGCUGCUGCCACCGGGCCCUGCAGCGCCGUUCACGAGGCCGCUGACUCAGGGUUGAUGCACCUCACUGUGACGCAGCCCUGCCUUGUUCUUUUCCAGGAGCCGACUCGCGGCCGGUGGGUGCGACGCUUGCAAUUCCACCAGGACAGAUGAGCCCGGGGUGGAGUCCGCGGUGUUGUCCAGGCACCAGUCCUCUCAAGGCUGACCUGCAACGGCUGCUGUGGGUCCAGCGGCAAAGCGGCCAGCAGCCUCCCAGCCGCGCCCUGGUUCAGCUCCGCGGGCGCCUUUGUCACCACCUGUGUCUUCGCUGUCUCCAGAUGGGGCUCUCCCUGCUGCUUUGUUUUAGCUCCAUCAAGUGAGACAUAAAAAGCUGUAAGCACGGAAGUGGCAGCAGGCUAGGGAUAGGACACCCCCUCUGCGGAGAGUGUGUGGCUCUGCACGGGCAGCUGAUUUGGGACAACUUAACUACGCUGGCAGGUCUGGGAUGAUGGGAAGUCCCACAAUGCAUCCUCGUGACCUGACCAGCUGCUCAAGCCGCCAUCCAAAUUGUUCCCUGCAUACAAAAUGUCUCUUCUCUGUGUAUAUUUCAUUUUUGCCAUACUUUAUCCUUAUUAUUUUUAAACACAACUACAUCAUGCACAUGUUCUCAUUCUAAGACAUUUUAACAACACAGUGAUGUACAAAGCUAAGGUGAUUCCAGUUUUUUCCUUUGACCUCCUUGCUCCUGCUUUGGGGGCCAGCAGCAAACACUUGGUUGCACAGUGUGCGUCCUGCCGGGGGCUCUUCUCAGUCACGUGACCAGUGCAUGCACAGGCGCCCAGGUCUCUGUGCUUUUUGCUUCCUGACAUAAACCAGAUUGCACCAGAGCCCAGGAAGCAGGGCUGUCACUGCUGACAGAUCCGGAAGUCAGAGAAGCACUGGGUACCUCAACAAUGUCCGUGGAGGGGCGGGCAUUGUGGUCAAGUGGAUUAAGCCACACUCCGUGUCACCUGCAUCCCAUUUCAAUGCUGAUUUGAGUCCCAGCUGUUUUGCUUCCAAUCCAGCGCCCUGCUAAUGCCCCUGGGACAGCAGCUGAAGAUGGCCUAAGUACUUGGAUACCUGAAAACAUAAGGAGACCCAGAAGAAGCCUAGUUCCUGAAUUUGGCCUGGCCCAGCCUUGGACAUUUUGACUAUUUGGGCAGUGAAUCAGCUGAUGGAGAUCUCUCUGUCUCUUAAUUCUGCCUUUCAAGUAAAUAAUAUAAAUCUUUGUUAAAAAGUUCAUGGAAAAUGCAUUUUAAUGAUGUUACUUUAGUGCAAAAUUUAAAAAAAAAAACCAUGCAAAUGCAGCAUUUUCAAAAAUGUCAUGGAAAGUGUUUUUACGGGAAACAUGCAUUCUUUUCAAAUAUUUUUGCACCAAAAUAAAUUUAUAUCUCAAUUCCA